GUGGCGUAGUUAGCAUGUGCUAGCUAAAACAGUCAAGGAGCGAACGUCAAGUGUACAUUAUCAGUCCUUGAAAACUGAAAACGUACAGUCUGAACCGGACCAAAGACCGAUUUCAUCCCGAGCAAUAAUGUCUAUUGAGACAAAGAGACAGACAACUAAAAGAAGACAAAGAAGACUUUUGCACCAAAGUCAUAGAGAUGUAUUUCCAGAAGGAGAGGCGAAUGGACUUAAGUAAUUUACAAGUAAAGAGCGGCGGUGACUUUGGUGCGCGGUGCAGCCCAGUUGGUAGAAGUCAGUGCAGAGGCUACAGAUAUGAGCAGCAAACUUUUCCCCUCAAGUCAGCAUAAAAUGCGAAGACGAGCAGGAUCGGUUAAUUGGUGAUUGGCUGCAGGUGUGGGAGAGUGAAUGGGCGUCUGUCUCCAUGUCAGCCCUGCGAUUGACUGGCAACUGGGCCAGUGUUUUGCUCAAUGUAAACUGGGCUACCUUCUAGGGAUCAGCGGUAAAUACAAUGAAUAUUUAACUAUUAUUUAUUUCCACAUAUGUAUCCUAAAGAAACAACACUAUAGAAUUUUCUAUAUUUUACACAAAAGAAAAAUAUUUUUUACUUAAGGUUUCCACAUGAAUCUUUUAUAAGUUGCAUAUUGUAUAACAAUUGACUCCAAAAUGUCCAAACAAGCCAAACCACUAGCAUAAAAGCUAACGGUGGUGACAAUGCUAAAAUUGGAACAACAGCCAAAGUGUGCAGAGCUAACCGUGUGUUUACCUGAGAGGAGCUACGGCUCCACCGCCACAAAGUCGGAUUACAACCAAGGCAGAUAGAAGGCUUCUCCUGC
Molecule: long non-coding RNA, 833 nt
Organism: Gasterosteus aculeatus aculeatus (three-spined stickleback)
Lineage: Eukaryota; Metazoa; Chordata; Actinopteri; Perciformes; Gasterosteidae
Source: Ensembl